Molecule: ribosomal RNA, 406 nt
Filed under: uncultured bacterium
Lineage: Bacteria
Description: partial 16S ribosomal RNA
Rfam family: Bacterial small subunit ribosomal RNA
Source: RNAcentral
AUUGAACGCUGGCGGCAGGCCUAACACAUGCAAGUCGAGCGAGCGGCGGACGGGUGAGUAAUGUCUGGGAAACUGCCUGAUGGAGGGGGAUAAAUACUGGAAACGGUAGCUAAUACCGCAUACCAUCAGAUGUGCCCAGUUGGGAUUAGCUAGUAGGUGGGGUAACGGCUCACCUAGGCGACGAUCCCUAGCUGGUCUGAGGGGAUGACCGGCCACACUGGAACGUAGAGACGGUCCAGACUCCUACGGGCGGGAGCAGUGGGGAAUAUGGGACAAUGGGCGCAAGCCUGAUGCAGCCAUGCCGCGUGUGUGAAGAAGGCCUUCGGGUUUUAAAGCACUUUCAGCGUGGAGGCGGUACCCGCAGAAGAAGCACCGGCUAACUCCGUGCCAGCAGCCGCGGUAAUUC